UCCAUCGUGAGAUGGAAUCUGAAGGAAGCUGCUGGCAAAGUUCCGGCCCGACGAACAGGAAUCGCAUACGAGGCAGCCAUAUCUGGGCGAGGGAGCCAUGAUACCCAAAGCCCGAUCGUCAUCCAGAAGAUAGGGAAGUAUAUGCGGCGGGUAUAUGGAAUGAAGGUCUCGUGUC
Non-coding RNA from Magnetococcus sp., 175 nucleotides. The record is from Rfam. Lineage: Bacteria; Pseudomonadati; Pseudomonadota; Magnetococcia; Magnetococcales; Magnetococcaceae.